GAUGAACGCUGGCGGCGUGCCUAAUACAUGCAAGUCGAGCGAACAGACGAGGAGCUUGCUCCUCUGACGUUAGCGGCGGACGGGUGAGUAACACGUGGAUAACCUACCUAUAAGACUGGGAUAACUUCGGGAAACCGGAGCUAAUACCGGAUAAUAUAUUGAACCGCAUGGUUCAAUAGUGAAAGACGGUUUUGCCGUCACUUAUAGAUGGAUCCGCGCCGCAUUAGCUAGUUGGUAAGGUAACGGCUUACCAAGGCAACGAUGCGUAGCCGACCUGAGAGGGUGAUCGGCCACACUGGAACUGAGACACGGUCCAGACUCCUACGGGAGGCAGCAGUAGGGAAUCUUCCGCAAUGGGCGAUAGCCUGACGGAGCAACGCCGCGUGAGUGAUGAAGGUCUUCGGAUCGUAAAACUCUGUUAUUAGGGAAGAACAAAUGUGUAAGUAACUAUGCACGUCUUGACGGUACCUAAUCAGAAAGCCACGGCUAACUACGUG
This 497-nucleotide ribosomal RNA is filed under the name uncultured bacterium. RNAcentral describes it as "partial 16S ribosomal RNA". It matches the Rfam family "Bacterial small subunit ribosomal RNA", at positions 28 to 507 of the family's 1533-position model. The record is from RNAcentral.